UUGAAAGAGUUAGUUAAGACUCGUGGAGGUUCUCGAUUGUAGUGUCCUUGUUGUAAUGGGCUUAUUUACUUUUAUUUGUCGUGAUGCGGUUUAUUUCUUGCCGAGCGAAUCCGUUAACUAGUUGUGAUAGUUCUAACGUUAGCUAGUGUUUUUAGAGCAAUUUAAUGCCUUCAAGCAAAAGCAACCAGAGGAAUCGUCAAGAAAAGUAAACGCCAUUAAGACUUGCUUGAUUUGAAAGGCAUGAAGACACAACGUGAAGAGACUGUUUGUGAAUAUGCAGUAACUUGACCGCUACAGCUGGAUCAAGGAAAACACCAGCACCUUUUCUGCAAAAUGAGGUGGUGGACAUUCAGGGUUGCUGUCAUUCAAGAAGUUAUUGACCACAUCUCCUACCCUAUUGAGGCAGUAAGAUGCAAAAUACCUGAAGAAUAUGGCACUUAUCCUGGAGUUCAUAUAAAGAAAUCCUGAACGAAGGUUGAAAAGGCUGAGAUGAAGGAAACGUCCCCAUUCCUCCAAAACUGCUGAAGUUCCUGUAUGAACAACUUCGAAAAACCAGCUGGCAUCUUGGGGAGGACGACCUCGCAUCCAGUAUGCUGCUGUGGGUGCCGCAGGAUUUCGAACUCAUUCGAUCACUUGUCUCUAUGCUUUUCGAACUGUGGCGACUAAUCGUGCCUUGCUGUGGGUCAAGCCGCUGGAUCUUCAGAUCUUCUUCGAUUUGCUUAAUCCAUCCUUUUUUUGGGUGCAAUGCGCUGGAUUCUACACUGGGUUGGACGUUUCCUCCAGAGGACUUGUGUGGUAUUCAAUUUGCAUCCAUUCUGCAUGUGUCCAAACAUUUCACUCUAUUGACUAGAAGUCUAAAGCAAUUUUUAAAAGCAGAAGCCUUAUCUUCAUUGCAUUUUGUUUGUUUCUGUAUUGUAUCGUAUUCUAUUAGUAUUGCAUUUGAAAAUGUUUUGAAUCUUGACUUUCACAGUUUAUGAAGGUUUUUUUUUUUUCCAUUUUUUUUAAAUAAUUUUGUGAGCUAUUUGGUACAACACCAAUAUUGUGCAAGUACCUGCUCGUUUUCUUUUUUUUUUUUUCAUUUCUCCCAUGUUUGUUUAAUGUCUUAACUUUUUCCACAAUACAAGCACUUUUUUAUGGUGCUUUGCACAUUGUUAAAUUGUGUGUGUCUGUCUGUGUAUAUCAAUUUUUACCCAUUGAAUGCGUUUUAAGAAUGUUUACAUGAAA
Pimephales promelas (fathead minnow) is the source of this 1224-nucleotide non-coding RNA. The record is from RefSeq and is a predicted model, not a curated record. NCBI's taxonomy places the organism in Eukaryota, Metazoa, Chordata, Actinopteri, Cypriniformes, Leuciscidae.